Molecule: ribosomal RNA, 492 nt
Filed under: uncultured bacterium
Lineage: Bacteria
Description: partial 16S ribosomal RNA
Rfam family: Bacterial small subunit ribosomal RNA
Source: RNAcentral
AGUGAACGCUGGCGGUAGGCCUGACACAUGCAAGUCGAACGGCAGCACAGUAAGAGCUUGCUCUUACGGGUGGCGAGUGGCGGACGGGUGAGGAAUACAUCGGAAUCUACUUUUUCGUGGGGGAUAACGUAGGGAAACUUACGCUAAUACCGCAUACGACCUACGGGUGAAAGCAGGGGAUCUUCGGACCUUGCGCGAUUGAAUGAGCCGAUGUCGGAUUAGCUAGUUGGCGGGGUAAAGGCCCACCAAGGCGACGAUCCGUAGCUGGUCUGAGAGGAUGAUCAGCCACACUGGAACUGAGACACGGUCCAGACUCCUACGGGAGGCAGCGGUGGGGAAUAUUGGACAAUGGGCGCAAGCCUGAUCCAGCCAUACCGCGUGGGUGAAGAAGGCCUUCGGGUUGUAAAGCCCUUUUGUUGGGAAAGAAAAGCAGCAGGUUAAUACCCCGCUGUUCUGACGGUACCCAAAGAAUAAGCACCGGCUAACUUCGUG